RNAcentral lists this long non-coding RNA (883 nucleotides) under Homo sapiens (human). Its description in RNAcentral is "HSALNT0287018". The record is from RNAcentral. Lineage: Eukaryota; Metazoa; Chordata; Mammalia; Primates; Hominidae.
UAGGCUCAGAGACUCCAGUGCAGCCACAUGGUGGAAGAAGAUUUAUGCAUAGAAAAAUCAAAGUGACAUUAAAAAAACAGAAAUGAGAGUCUCUGGAUUCACGGGUCUGGAUAGGUGGCCAUGAUGACGUCUGGAGAUUUGUUCUAAGUGCCGAGACCAGAAGCUACAAGCCAAAAUUAAGCCCAACAUGGUCCCUUCUACCUCUGCUUUUCCUGUUUUGCCUCCUGGCUAUUUUCGGAGGAGUUGGAUCUUUCAGAACCCAAUGAUUGGAUUUCUGGAAACAUCAGAGAAAGACUGUCCUGCCAUCUACUCUGUAGCAAAACUUUGGGACCUCAAACCUUGGGUUUAUAAUCUCACAACUCAGAAGAGUCCUUCCACACUCUUGGAACUGUACACCCAUUGGAAUCCUUAAGGUGAAGCUAACCAGUGAGGUUUCUCCCCAGAAGAAGAUGGCAUCCUUGAUGGGGACAGCUUUUUCUCAAGAUUAGAGAUUGAGACUUCUCUACUAUCAUGAGACUCUUAUCUUUCAUUUUUUUCCCUUGCUUAUGCCUCUUUGAACAAUAGAAAAAGAAAAACAGGUUUUCUGUGUGCACUCACAGGGUUUACUUUUAUUUGUGAAGGAUUUUCGAGCCAGCCUUAUACAUGAAUAACUUUAUGCCUUGACAGAUGAAAGUUGAAGGUCCAAUGUAUGUGAGCAAGUUUAAUGUUACAUACAUUGCCUCAUAAUCAGUCAGAAACAGAAUGUUGCUCCACUCUUCUUAACCUACAUUAUGCAUCAAAGAAAACAUUGCCAGAAGGUCUUCACUCUUCUAGAAGGGCUUCAUUUUUUAGAUUAUUUUAUCCAUUGUUUGGAGUAAAUGAGGCAAUGAUUAGAAAUUUACCC